AUUCAGCGCCUUAGCAAAUUGUUCCUUUCAUGUUUCAAGGCACGUAAAAACAAGUAUGUACAACCAACAAAAUUUGAAAUCUGCUCAGGUUUCCAGAUCUAUGUAGCAUACUAGUUCCUUCAAGAAGGUUCAUAGUGUUAACUGCACAAAACACCAAACUCAAUAUACACUUUCUCUGAUGUUGCUGUAAAGAAAUGCAAUGAGAACUUACUUGUAUGCCUGUUUGCAGUCUUGAGCAAGACUUGCCUACCACUUACUAGUCCCAUCUGCAGCUCUUGCAUUACAACAUAACAUGGGUGCUUUACACCACAUGCAUACGAAAUACCAGAUCUGUAAUUCUGAUGAAUCUUGAUUGGAUCCUGGGACACAUGAGGAUGAGGGUGAAUAACUUGUUACCUGAUGAUCUAACCGAUCCCUACGAACAUGUUAACACUGAUCAUCAACAAUGGUUUACUAAAGAAUAUUCUUGGAUGAAUCUGAACAAUUUACAUAUAUUGAAUUCUACCUUAUCAACUAUUUUUGGUGCCUUUGACUUGUGAUCCUUGAUGCUCCCUGCUGCUUGGAAAGGAUUUCAGCUAUAAGUUGCUUUUGGCCAAAGAGUUGGGCAUUUCUCAAAAGCAAGUUCCUUGAUGAUGAGUCCACAGAAUAGCCUUGACCAGUCAUCCAGUCCAAGAGGCAAAGCAGUAGCUGCUUCUUAUCAGGUUUCUGAAUGUAUCGCUGAAUUGCUUUCCCAAAGAUAUCCUGCUACCUUAACAACUACGUAUGCAUCCUUGAGAAGUCCAGCUGGAACUAAGAUACAUAAAACCUUCUCAUGAAGAGAUUUACACACUGUUCUCUUUCCAUAUCUCAACAUAUUAUACACAGAAAAUGCUUCAGAAGGAAAACCCGCUUCUCCUAGCUGCAUCAUUAUCUCAGAACAAAGCUCCUCAUUCAAUUGAUGGCCCUUUGUAUGCAUAUCUUGAAUUGUCUUGUAUGCUAGGUGAUAGACCUUUGCCAUGCAGAAGUACCUUAUUAAGGUAUUAAAUGUGAUAGCAUCAGGCGAUAUGUUCGAUUCAUCCAUUUUCCUAAGCAUGAUCAUUACACUUUCCAUAUCAUUGGUGCUGCAGUAAGCACGAAGUGAUGUAUUAAGCAUAACCAGAUCAUAUGUUGCAUUCUUGGCCUCAAAUUCUUUUGCAAGUUGUUUUGACUCUUCACGAUAGCCACCUCGAUGUAAUGCUGAUAUCAUGAUACUGAAUGCAUAGCCAUCAGAUUUGACACCUUUUUCUUUCAUAUCAUUAAAUAGAAUCAUGGCUUCCCAUAUCUUCCGUUCUUUGACAAGGCCAUCAAUCAAUAUGCAACCAAAUAUUUUACCUCAUCCUGUGCGAAGCCUGAAGCUUCCAGUUCAGUUAGCAGUUCCCUUGCCUUCUCAAAGAGACCACCUUUAGAAUACACCUUUAACAAAGUGGUGACAAACCUUGUUCGGUGUUAACCCUGAGGACCUCAAAUCUUUCAUCAACAGAUCAGCCUUUUCAUAAUUAGCAUUUUCUGAAUAUGCAUUCAACAGAGAGCUAUAAUGGAAUAGAUUAGGCUUGUGUCCUUCGUCCUUCAUUUUCUGAAAAUAUUCCUCAGCCUUCUCGCAGCAGUUAUGUGACGCGCAUAUAGCCAGGAGAGUGCCAUAUAUUACACUAUCCAUCUGAAAACCACGGGAAUUCAGCUCAUUAACUAAUUCCAUGGCCUUAGUGUAACCCUGCUUCAACUUCAUGCACCCUGACAGAAGCUAGAAGUGAACAGAUCGGGUGAUAGACCUUCUCGUAUCAUCUCAUCAUAAAGCUUGAAGCUGCUAUCGAACCUCCCGUUCUUCACCAAGCACCCGAGGACCGAGUUACAAACGGAGACAUGGAUCCUUGUCGGGUUUUCUCGGAUAGCACCGUACACUUGCAGCGCUCGGGCAGGGUUGCGGCUCAACCCAAGGUACUUGAAGUAACUGCUGUAAGACGCAAUGUUGAGCAUGUCGUGCUCCUGCAUCCACCCGAAGACCUGAAACAAAAUAGCUCAUCCCAGCGCCUGGUUUCACCGUAGUGGCGCAGGAUUAUGUUGCAGUCCUGUGUCUGCAGCACAUCCUCGAACCUGUACAGCAUCAAAGUGCGGCGACGGGGUCGGGGGCGGCCUUGACCUCCGCGACGGCGCUGCGCCGAGGCGACGGCCGCGGUGGCGGCCUCGAGGCCUGCGGGGCUUCCAGCGCCCGGGGGGCGGCGCGGGCGCAGGAGAUGUUCCGUCGGGAGCAGCACGCCGCCGCCGCCGCCGCCGCUGGCGUUGGAUGAGGAGGAGGGGAGAGGAAGCGGGAGGCGGGGAGCGGCAGCGACGCGGCGGCCUCCAUCUCGCCGCCGGCGGGGCGCUGCUGUGUUCGC
Molecule: small RNA, 2387 nt
Filed under: Oryza sativa Japonica Group (Japanese rice)
Lineage: Eukaryota; Viridiplantae; Streptophyta; Magnoliopsida; Poales; Poaceae
Description: sRNA Os01g0559525
Source: RNAcentral